RNAcentral lists this ribosomal RNA (224 nucleotides) under Vibrio sp. a1s4. RNAcentral's name for it is "partial 16S ribosomal RNA". It matches the Rfam family "Bacterial small subunit ribosomal RNA", at positions 841 to 1064 of the family's 1533-position model. The record is from RNAcentral. Lineage: Bacteria; Pseudomonadati; Pseudomonadota; Gammaproteobacteria; Vibrionales; Vibrionaceae.
GGCUUUCGGAGCUAACGCGUUAAGUAGACCGCCUGGGGAGUACGGUCGCAAGAUUAAAACUCAAAUGAAUUGACGGGGGCCCGCACAAGCGGGGGAGCAUGUGGUUUAAUUCGAUGCAACGCGAAAAACCUUACCUACUCUUGACAUCCAAAAAACUUUCCAAAAAUGGAUUGGUGCCUUCGGGAACUCUGAAACAGGUGCUGCAUGGCUGUCCUCAGCUCGUG